This 451-nucleotide ribosomal RNA is filed under the name uncultured bacterium. RNAcentral describes it as "partial 16S ribosomal RNA". It matches the Rfam family "Bacterial small subunit ribosomal RNA", at positions 354 to 796 of the family's 1533-position model. The record is from RNAcentral.
GUGGGGAAUUUUGCGCAAUGGGGGAAACCCUGACGCAGCAACGCCGCGUGAGUGAUGAAGGCCUUCGGGUCGUAAAGCUCUGUCAGAGGGGAAGAAAUGCAGGGGUGCUAAUAUCAUCUUUGCUUGACGGUACCCUCAAAGGAAGCACCGGCUAACUCCGUGCCAGCAGCCGCGGUAAUACGGAGGGUGCGAGCGUUGUUCGGAAUUAUUGGGCGUAAAGCGCGUGUAGGCGGUUUGGUAAGUCUGAUGUGAAAGACCCGGGCUCAACCUGGGAAGUGCAUUGGAAACUGUCAGGCUUGAGUACGGGAGAGGGUAGUGGAAUUCCUAGUGUAGGAGUGAAAUCCGUAGAUAUUAGGAGGAACACCGGUGGCGAAGGCGGCUACCUGGACCGAUAUUGACGCUGAGACGCGAAAGCGUGGGGAGCAAACAGGAUUAGAAACCCGUGUAGUCC